Non-coding RNA from Mycena latifolia, 94 nucleotides. The record is from the annotation of a GenBank genome assembly. Lineage: Eukaryota; Fungi; Basidiomycota; Agaricomycetes; Agaricales; Mycenaceae.
GACCUGAUGGCACAAUGGUUAGUGCAUCUGUUGCAUUUACCUCAAGUGGGCAUUUUUUCGGCAGAAGGUCCCCGUUCGACUCGGGGUCAGGUCA